GGGAGAAUCACAUCAGCAACAAAUUCAGACCAUAAAGAUACACAGGGGAACCCCGCAGCGUGUAACAGUAUGUACUGCUGAGAAUUGAAUAAUGUUGGUAAACAAUGUGAAAAUAAUUAUAGUAAUUAUAAGUGUUACACAUGCGGGAAAAAUUGUUUGGAAAGUAAUUAAGACCUCAUGCACAUGUCUCAUCUUCCUGGAAGUUGAAGAAGGAAUAUAAAACUCAAAGGAUUCAGAGCUCCUCUGGCCAUUUCUCUUGACUUCCUCCUGGACAACUGGGUGUGGGACGAGGUCCCUGCGCUUCACAAAUCCCCGCUCUGUGCUGCAGCUUUGCCACCAUUCCUCCCAGAUGUCCUUCGGGGCCGGGUGGUACACAGGACCCUGCUCCAAUCCCUGCACCGUGCAGUGCCCGCAGCCUCUUGCUACCAGCUGCAAUGAACCCUGUGUUGUAUCCUGCCCUGCCUCCAGAGUCAUCAUAUUCCCCCCUCCCGUCGUUGUGACUUUCCCAGGGCCGAUCCUCACCACAUGCCCACAGGAGACGGUGGUGGGAA
Molecule: long non-coding RNA, 551 nt
Organism: Gallus gallus (chicken)
Lineage: Eukaryota; Metazoa; Chordata; Aves; Galliformes; Phasianidae
Exons: 2
Source: RefSeq, marked validated